Alligator sinensis (Chinese alligator) is the source of this 516-nucleotide long non-coding RNA. RefSeq lists it as uncharacterized. The record is from RefSeq and is a predicted model, not a curated record. The transcript has 4 exons. NCBI's taxonomy places the organism in Eukaryota, Metazoa, Chordata, Crocodylia, Alligatoridae.
AGGAUGAGGGAGAACCUGUGUCAUCCUGUGAAAAGCCGAUUCCCCACUGGAUUCAGAGCUGUGCAACCAGGGAUACAGGUACUUCACAAAAGAUUCACUGAGGACCUGUUCUAUCAUUGUUCUAGGAUUCCUUUUCAAGGUUCAGCUCUCUGAAGAGAUUGCUGGCUACCCAGGCUGGUCUCCUGUUGCAGUUCCCAUUCUUCCAUUGCAUUAGAUCUCGAACUCUAUAAUUUCAAGGCCACUGUCACCCAAGUCAACUUCCACCUGCACAUUCUCAACCAGUUCCUCUGUUUGUAAACAGCAAGUCAAGAAGAGCUUCCUCCUUAUUUGGCUUCUCUGUAUCAAAAAAAUUAUUCGCAACACACUCUAAGAAUUUGCUGGGCUGCUUGAACAUGGGUUUGUUAUCCUCCUAGAAGAUGUCCUGAUAAUUAAAGUCCUUGAUGAGAACCAGGUCCCAUGAGUUGGAAACUUCCAUCAGUUUUUUUAAAAAGUCUUCAUCUACCCCUUCCACCAUGA